GGCGGGAUAACUCAGCUGGCUAGAGUAACCGGUUCAUACCCGGUCUGUCGAGGGUUCAAAUCCCCCUCCCGCUACCA
Molecule: transfer RNA, 77 nt
Filed under: Clostridia bacterium
Lineage: Bacteria; Bacillati; Bacillota; Clostridia
Also listed under: 1 other name
Description: tRNA-Met
Rfam family: tRNA
About the family: Transfer RNA (tRNA) molecules are approximately 80 nucleotides in length. Their secondary structure includes four short double-helical elements and three loops (D, anti-codon, and T loops).
Source: RNAcentral